Molecule: ribosomal RNA, 293 nt
Filed under: uncultured bacterium
Lineage: Bacteria
Description: partial 16S ribosomal RNA
Rfam family: Bacterial small subunit ribosomal RNA
Source: RNAcentral
AACGAACGCUGGGCGGCAGGCCUAAUACAUGCAAGUCGAGCGCGCCCUUCGGGGUGAGCGGCGGACGGGUGAGUAACGCGUGGGAAUAUGCCCUUCUCUAAGGAAUAGCCUCUGGAAACGGAGAGUAAUACCUUAUACGCCCUACGGAGGAAAGGAGGGGAUCUUUUGACCUUUCGCUAUCAGAUGAGCCUGCGUGAGAUUAGCUAGUUGGUGAGGUAAUGGCUCACCAAGGCGACGAUCUCUAGCUGGUCUGAGAGGAUGAUCAGCCACACUGGAACUGAGACACGGACCAG